GCCGGGGUGGCGAAAUGGCAGACGCGGCGGACUUAAAAUCCGCUUCCCGCAAGGGAGUGCGGGUUCAAAUCCCGCCCCCGGCA
RNAcentral lists this transfer RNA (83 nucleotides) under Dehalococcoidia bacterium. Its description in RNAcentral is "tRNA-Leu". It matches the Rfam family "tRNA". From Rfam's summary of the family: Transfer RNA (tRNA) molecules are approximately 80 nucleotides in length. The record is from RNAcentral. Lineage: Bacteria; Bacillati; Chloroflexota; Dehalococcoidia.